UACGUAGGGUGCAGGCGUUAAUCGGAGUUACUGGGCGUAAAGCGCGUGUAGGCGGCGUGGCAAGUCGGGUGUGAAAGCCCUCAGCUCAACUGAGGAAGUGCGCCCGAAACUGCUGUGCUUGAGUGCCGGAGAGGGUGGCGGAAUUCCCCAAGUAGAGGUGAAAUUCGUAGAUAUGGGGAGGAACACCGGUGGCGAAGGCGGCCACCUGGACGGUAACUGACGCUGAGACGCGAAAGCGUGGGGAGCAAACAGG
This 253-nucleotide ribosomal RNA is filed under the name uncultured bacterium. RNAcentral describes it as "partial 16S ribosomal RNA". It matches the Rfam family "Bacterial small subunit ribosomal RNA", at positions 524 to 776 of the family's 1533-position model. The record is from RNAcentral.